UUCAACUUCUAAUUUUGAGUCAUUCUAGUGAAUUUUUGCACUCUUGGGAUAUUUCGGGAAGAGAGAGCUGCUGAGUGCCAUGUUACAUUAUGGAAGCUUUUUUGCAUUCUUCUGACAGAGGGGAUUGAAGGCUGUCUGCCAUGUUCGUGCUGUGCCAGAGGUACCCAGCUCAGCAAGGAGGUUUGGAUUGCAGUUCUCAGGGAAUUUGGAUGUUGAUUAAUUUUGGCCAGGAAUUAGAAGUGUCCUUGUGGUUCUGA
This 257-nucleotide long non-coding RNA is filed under the name Coturnix japonica (Japanese quail). RNAcentral's name for it is "lncRNA (ENSCJPG00005020473.1)". Lineage: Eukaryota; Metazoa; Chordata; Aves; Galliformes; Phasianidae. The record is from RNAcentral.